This 492-nucleotide ribosomal RNA is filed under the name uncultured bacterium. RNAcentral describes it as "partial 16S ribosomal RNA". The stretch from base 62 to 492 matches the Rfam family "Bacterial small subunit ribosomal RNA", at positions 35 to 507 of the family's 1533-position model. The record is from RNAcentral.
GGGGGGGGGGGGGGGGGGGGGGGGGGGGGGGAGGGCGGGGGGGGGGGGGGGGGGGGGGGGGGCGGGCGGGGGGGGGGGGGGGGAGGGGGGGGGGAUGCGGCGGGAGCUGCUUGUUCGGGGGGGAUAAGGUAGGGGAGGUUACGCUGAUACCGCAGAGGACCUACGGGGGGAAGCAGGGGAGCUUCGGACCUUGGGCGAUUGACUGAGCCGAUGUCGGAUUAGCUAGUUGGCGGGGGAAAGGCCGACCAAGGCGACGAUCUGUAGCUGGUCUGAGAGGAUGAUCAGCCACACUGGAGCUGAGACACGGUCCAGACUCCUACGGGAGGCAACAGUGGGGAAUAUUGGGCAAUGGGCGCAAGCCUGAGCCAGCCAUACCGCGGGGGUGAAGAAGCACCUCGGGUUGUAAAGCCCUUUUGUUGGGAAAGAAAAGCAGCUGGUUAAUACCCCGCUGUUCUGACGGUACCCAAAGAAUAAGCACCGGCUAACUUCGUG